UACGGAGGGUGCGAGCGUUAAUCGGAAUAACUGGGCGUAAAGGGCACGCAGGCGGAUAAGCAAGUUAGAAGUGAAAUCCUAUAGCUCAACUAUAGUAAGCUUUUAAAACUGCUCAUCUUGAGGUAUGGAAGGGAAAGUGGAAUUCCUAGUGUAGCGGUGAAAUGCGCAGAUAUUAGGAGGAAUACCGGUGGCGAAGGCGGCCCCCUGGACAAAGACUGACGCUCAGGUGCGAAAGCGUGGGGAGCAAACAGG
This 252-nucleotide ribosomal RNA is filed under the name uncultured bacterium. RNAcentral's name for it is "partial 16S ribosomal RNA". It matches the Rfam family "Bacterial small subunit ribosomal RNA", at positions 524 to 776 of the family's 1533-position model. The record is from RNAcentral.